UACGUAGGGGGCUAGCGUUGUCCGGAAUCAUUGGGCGUAAAGAGCGUGUAGGCGGCCCGGUAAGUCCGCUGUAAAAGUCAAAGGCUCAACCUUUGAAUGUCAGUGGAUACUGCCGGGCUAGAGUCCGGAAGAGGCGAGUGGAACUCCUGGUGUAGCGGUGGAAUGCGCAGAUAUCAGGAAGAACACCAACGGCGAAGGCAGCUCGCUAGGACGGUACUGACGCUGAGGCGCGAAAGCCAGGGGAGCAAACGGG
Molecule: ribosomal RNA, 253 nt
Filed under: uncultured bacterium
Lineage: Bacteria
Description: partial 16S ribosomal RNA
Rfam family: Bacterial small subunit ribosomal RNA
Source: RNAcentral